CCAUACCUGGCCUGCAGUACCGUACUACGAGGAGGUCGGGGCGGUGGUGGUCUCUGUGGGUUAUCAGUUUAUCGAGCUGGCCGACAUCGAGGUGCUGCCAGGUGAUGUGUUCGCUGUGGAGGGACCCGUUGGCAGGAGGUUGUAUGAGGGACCAGGGGGAGACCAGGUAGACGGGGUCCUCACCAGCCACCACUACUACAUCUCUGUGGUGGUGAGAGAGAAGGUGUACUUCAACCUCUUCCACACCUGUACAGAGAUACUUGUCGACACCGAGCUGCAGGUGGCUGACCAGUACCCAGUCUCAAGCGUCCAAGCCUCUGACCAGACAGCGUGUGAGAGGAACAUAACAGACGUGGCUGUGAGCGCCCCAGCCAGUAACAGACACCUUUAACAGCAACCUUAACCUUCGCUCUCCCUUCUAUGUCAGGUCAGACUACAGCUUCACCUAUACCGUCACCUUCACUGUGGCUGGACCCAUCACCGUCAACUUCACCUAUUCACCUGAUUUUGGCCAGUUUGACACCUUGGUGGAUAC
Long non-coding RNA from Homarus americanus (American lobster), 535 nucleotides. RefSeq lists it as uncharacterized. The record is from RefSeq and is a predicted model, not a curated record. The transcript is spliced from 4 exons. Lineage: Eukaryota; Metazoa; Arthropoda; Malacostraca; Decapoda; Nephropidae.